CCCCACCUUCUCGCUUCAUCUUCAUCAUUUUCUUAAUUUUCUCCAUUUCCUCUCAAGAACAAGUUUUCUUCUCAAGAUUUAAUCUCCAUAAGUUGGUUCUUGAUCUUUUGGUAAGUUUUUCCUUACUAAUCUAGUGGUUCUAUACAUACAUAUACUAGUUUUGUUACAAUUAAACACAUUAAUAUAUGUUAAUAUCCAUAGGGUAAUUCAACCUUCAAGUGUUCUUAGUUAGAAAACCUUCAUCUUCACCUCUUUAUCCACCAAGAAACACACUCAAGGUGAGUUCAUACCCCUCAUUUUCGUUUUUAUCCAAGUUUUUUUUUUUUUUUUUUUUUUUUUUUUUUUUUUUUNNNNNNNNNNNNNGGGGGGGGGAAUACAAGUAAACUUUUAUAAAAACAAAGGUUGUUAUACAUGUUUUGUCUUCAAGUUGUGUAAAAGUAUUAUUUACAUGAAAUCAUGUUAUUACCUAGUAUUAUGAACAUUUAUGUGUGAUAUGUUGUUUAAAAUGCAAAUCUAUGAAAAAUAAGUAUAAACAUGCUAUAUGUUCUUGAGAAAAAGUCACAAAAACAAAACUAUAAAAACUAUGGUUUUUAUGAACAUAAUAUGACUUUUCUAGAAAAAGUAGUGUUAACCAAGUUAUCACAUCAAUUUUGUGGGAUACAAACCAAAAUAUGUGAUUUGGACAUGUGUUAUGAAACUUGUUAAAAAUACCAAGGAUUUGGUUUUACAAAAAGAAAACCUAAAAAACUCACCAUUUUUAUGUAAAAUUAGGGGUUUCUAGCAAAAAUGGUCAUGAUUAGGUUAUGCUACUAUUUUUGUGAGAUUUGAUCUAAAAUAUGUUUGUUUAAACAUACAAGGUUAGCUUGAUUUGAUCUCCACCAAAAAGGUAAAAAUAAAUUUUACCAAGUUAUAACUCAACUUUUACCGUUUGGUGACGUAAAAGGGCCAAAACUAGCAAAUUGGCUUCACCACACUAAAUGUUCAUAUACUUGUGUUAUAUCUAAAUUAUAUAUUAUUUAGGGACAUCUAAACAUAUAUAUAUAUAUAUAUAUAUANAUAUAUAUAUAUAUAUAUGGGCACAACAAAACAUUUAUAAUAAACUAUAAUAAGUAUAGUUUAUGGGUCAUUGACACUAUUUUACCGUUUUGAUACAAUACGAAUAAUUAUAUAAAAGUAUAAUUAAUCUUACACUAUGUAAAUACUAUAGAAAUGUGAUAUUUACACUUACAAUGGUUUUCAUUACACUAUACCUAAACUUGUUGAAACAAUUAUGUGAGACAGAGUCUUCAUCGUACCUACCAGAGGACACACUAAAGUCCUGAAUUAUAACCAGAAUCUCGGUAAGAGAGCGUGACACUUGUUUAUAGAUCUAUACGGGACUGACAAUCCCGAACCUAAGUUGCUAGCUACAGCUACACCGACAGGUCUGGGGUGACAAAUAUUUAACAUUCCGACGCCUAAAGAACGUCAUAGCAAACCAACUUCGGUUUUAGCAUGGUUGUAAUAACUCACAUGGUGAAUCAACAAUACAUUUGGUUUACGGGGUAAUAUGCGUUCAAAUGGUUUUAUAUAAAAUUAAAACUACAUAAUACUAUUUUAAGUAUAGAAAUACUUAUACAUUUUUGUUCUUAGGGUUUUUAUGACUACAACUCAUUUUUAAGAAAAUAUUGGAUUUUCUAGGAACAUACACUAUCAUUUUACAAGGAAAAAGUUACAGAUUCUUCACAUGAAAAACUCUUAUAAACUCACCAACUUAAUUAUUGACACUUUUCAAAACUACUUGUAUUCUCAAAGAAUCGUUACACAGAUAGUCAUAAGGCUUUUUAAGGAUGGGACGUUACGGUGUCGUACUAUUUAUUUUUGUCAUCAUAAUGGAACUGGUUUUGAAACAUACAAUACAUGGUAACAAUGUAACAUUCUCAAUUAUAUUUAUGAUGGUUGCGUUUGCUUUGAUCACUAUUGUACAUUAUGUUGUGAUACUGUUCAUGAAAGUCAUCCACCCCUAGACGUUUCUGCCAUCCUGGUUUUGGGGUGUGACAUAAUAUAUUGACAUAUGGUUUCAUAGUAACUCAACGUCCUUGCUUUUCCAAUCGCCGAUGGAGCUAGCUGAGUUAGAAAUGACGAUAUCAGUUGUGUGGGAAUUCUCUAGCGGUUAUCGUCGCUGAGUCAAGGGUUCAUGUCCUCCAGAAGUAGAUUACUGCCAUUAUAGGAUAAUAUGCUUGAGUUGAAAAUCUCCAAUAGUUUUCCGUCAUCUAGCUUUAACUAUAGUUCAAAGUUAAAUUGUAUGUUUUUAUUUAAUCCAAUCCAACUUCUUCUGCUAUCGUGUUCAUGUUAUAAAUCGUUUCCAAUGAUGUUGGUGGGAAAUAUUUUUACGAUUAUAUUAUUAUCUAGAUGUCAAAGGAAGUGGUUUUGUUGAAUUGUAAUAUUCAUAUGAGGGAAAAAAUUACACACCAAGUGUUUGAUUAUUUGUCAAUACGAGUGAUGACUUGGUAAAUAUCGUGUUAAUCGACGGUAUACUUCUACAGUACAUGAUUUGAUGCCUUUAUGUAGGUUAAAUGAUUCAUAGCACAAGAUGAACGACAAGCUUUAGUUUCAAGCGGCAAAAAGUGUAAUUCAACUAGGCAGCCACAUCAACGAUGAAUAAUCAACCAAAUCAGCAUAAAUGAGUAUGUGGUAGGGGCACCCGAAUCCAAUAGGUAAUGGUGACCAAAUAACCAAGUCAAUAUGGAAUUUGUACCCCUAGAAAGAAAGAAAUUAAUUUCAUAGACCAUUUAAACCAAAACUAGAAAGUUGAUUGGACUAUAGUGACAUUAACUCCAUAAAUUAUAUCUAUGCACCCAUUGUAUGUUUUUGGGUGGUGUAUCUUUCUUAUACUAUUUAAAAGAAUGUGUUUUUAAUGUAGAGUAGUUAUUAGGUUUUAUUGUGAAAGAGUUACUUUUUGAUGUGUUAUUUUGCUGAUGAAGUGUGGGUUUGAUUUGAUGUGUUUCCAUUUUCUGUGUCUCAUAAUUAUAUAUUACAAUAUUUUGCCUUUAAGAAUAGGUGCUCUCAUUGUUGGUGUGUAGGUUUUGUUGCAACUCUUUCCUCUUAUUGUUGAUGUUUUAUGCUAAAGUUCAUUAAAGGGUUUUGAAGUACCUUGGUUACUCUCAGAUCAAAAGUUCAUUGUUGUUCUGUAUAGACGGACAUAAUACACAUUAAGCACAAAAUAGAUCUAAUUACUUGUUGGAG
Molecule: long non-coding RNA, 3225 nt
Filed under: Lactuca sativa (garden lettuce)
Lineage: Eukaryota; Viridiplantae; Streptophyta; Magnoliopsida; Asterales; Asteraceae
Description: long non-coding RNA (LSAT_LNC006876)
Source: RNAcentral